GUGGAUCGCAGGGUUGUUGCACGAUCCACAAGACCUCAGCAGACUGAUUGGGCAUUUUCCUCUCGAUUUCUCACGAUCUACGAUGGACCGAUGGCAUUUUAAGGACAUGUCUCAUGGCUCAUGCAGGGUUUCGUGGAUUGGGGAGUUAGGUAAUGCACGAUCGGAUGGUGUGGAGGUGUUUGUGGUCAUCAUCGAACAUUCAAGGAGGUUUUUGAGUCCUGUUCGAGCCCUAUUAUGGAGUGGGACUUGGAUUUCAGGCUCUUUAAAAGUCCUAUAAACAAAUCGAGGGGUAGAGUAUGGCAUGGUGUGUUAAGCGAGGACCUAGGGCAGCAGCAGAUCGAGAGGAGGUUAUAGAGAGUAGAGACAGGAGGGCUUCAGAUAGACUGCCAAGCAAUGGAUAGCGGUCGCUUAAAAAAAUUCAAGAGAUCUUCUAGAGAGAGCUUUAGAGAGAGAGAGUUUCUUGUGAGGGAGAGAUUGGAUUUACGAGGGUUGAAUGUGUGAUCUCCUCUUGUAAUUUUCUAUUUUUUCAUAGUAUAGCUUGCAUGCCGUAUGGAGGCGAGCCUUUUGGCUGAUCCAUGUAUUUGAUUGUAUUUCUAUUUUUGUUUCUUCUUUUUUUCUAUGGUAAUGCAUGGCAUCGAAGAGGUCCUGUAGAGGUGGUGUUCUGAUCAGACAUCCUCAACAAGUGGUAUCAGGGUGAGACGGUAUCAGAGCAUAGUGGUGAUCAAGAUUAAAGAUAGAGAAAACAAGCACAAUCAAGAUGGAGAUCAAUCGAUUCGAUAGAAAGAGCAAUUUCUCUUUGUGACAAGCAAGGGUGAAAGAUGUGUUCAUCCAAUAUGGAUUGAUCGAUGCUCUCUUGUAUGAGAAGAAGUCAGACAUCAUGGAGGAGAAAACUUGAG
RNAcentral lists this long non-coding RNA (896 nucleotides) under Elaeis guineensis (African oil palm). RNAcentral describes it as "long non-coding RNA (EGUI_LNC050426)". Lineage: Eukaryota; Viridiplantae; Streptophyta; Magnoliopsida; Arecales; Arecaceae. The record is from RNAcentral.